Molecule: ribosomal RNA, 1305 nt
Filed under: Triticum aestivum (bread wheat)
Lineage: Eukaryota; Viridiplantae; Streptophyta; Magnoliopsida; Poales; Poaceae
Description: partial small subunit ribosomal RNA
Source: RNAcentral
AUGGCAAGCCAAAGCCACAUGUGCUCGUCGUGCCGUACCCGGCGCAAGGUCACCUGCUACCGCUCCUUGACCUGGUGGUGCUGCUCGCCGGACGAGGGCUCGCGCUCACCGUCGUCGUCACGCAAGGCAACGUCCAGUUCCUCGCCGCAUUGCCGCCGUCCGUGGCCACCGUUGUGCUGCCGUUCCCGUCGGCGCCUUUGCUCCCGGCCGGGUGCGGCGAGAACACCAAGGACCUCCCGGCGGACCUCUUCCGGCCGUUCAUGGCGUCCGUCCAUUCUCUCCGAUCUGUUCAUGGGCUGGACGCUUCCGCUCGCCGACGAGCUCGGCGUGCCGCACGUGGCCUUCUCGCCCACCAGCCUCCACUACCUCGCAUUCACUCGCUUCCUUUGGCGCCGCAUGCCGACGGGGCACGACGGCGAGGGCGAGAGGGUGGUCACCUUCCCGGAGCUGCCCGGCUCGCCUAGCAUCCCGUGGCGCCGCCUGUCGGGGCUGUUCCGGAUGCAUGAGGCUGGCGACGAGGUCUCCGAGAUGAUCCGGCAGAUCCUUCUGUGGAGCGUAGAAAGCUCCUGCUUUGUGGUCAACUCGUUCGCCGCACUCGAGGCCGGCUGCUUCAGGGAUGCGCUGGCGGCGAAGCGGGUGUUCAUGGUCGGCCCGCUGUCGGAAGCCGCCGGCGUGCGCGGCGGCGGCGGCGAACCCGCGGAGGUGUGCGCGUGGCUGGACGGGUUCGACGACGGUUCCGUCGUAUACAUCUGCUUCGGGUCGCAGGAGGCGCUGUCGCCGGCGCAGGCGGCGUGCGUGGCCGAAGCUCUGAGGCUGAGCCCGACCGCCGCGUUCGUCUGGGUGGCGAGGGGCGGCACCGUCGUGCCGGAGGGGUUCGAGGCGGCCACGGCAUCACGCGGGAGGGUAGUCCGGGGCUGGGCGCCGCAGCUGGACAUCCUGCGCCACCGCGCCGUGGGGUGGACCCUCACGCACUGCGGCUCGAACUCGGUGAUGGAGUCGGUCGCCGCCGGCGUGGCGUUGCUCACGUGGCCGAUGGCCGCUGACCAGUUCACGAACGCGUGGCUGCUCGCUGAGGCUGGCGCGGCCGUGCUGGUGGCGGAGGGCGCGGACGCCGUGCCUGACGCCGAGAAGAUGGCGAGCGCCAUCUCCAAGGCUGUCACGUCAGAAGAGGGGGAGUCCACCAGGAGGCGUGCGGUGGAGCUCGGCCGGAAUGCGGCCGCCGCGGUGACGGCGGGCGGAACGUCGUGCGGCGACCUGCAAGAGUUGGUGCGUGCGCUCGGUAACGUCGAUGGACUGGCUAGUUAA